GGAGAGUGGCGCUUCCGCGAUCUCUUCUUGGAUCUACCGUAACAUGGAUAUCCAGAGGUGUUCGCUAUCAACUAGAUGUUUUUUAGAGCAGAAUUUGCUGACGAUUUCAAAUACUUAUUUGGGGAAAGAAGAGGAGCUGCACUUUUCGCCACUGGCACUUAAAUUUUCCAUCUUUUGUUAAGCAGGGAGAGUUGGUAAAGUGGGUUUUUUUUAAGUUUUAUAACUGGAAAUGUUUGAAAAUCUUUGGCAUAUUUUUGGCACAUUUAAUUCCUUUUUAAAGCUGCCCUUAUUUACUUGGCAGGGGGAGUGGCUGGCUGGUACAGGGAUCACAUUCUGGACCUUGGUGUUAUAUCAGCAUCAUGCUCUAACCAUUGAGCAAGCUGGCCAUCCUCUAAAGCUGCCCUUUAUACAGAAAAGUCUGCCAUUACAGACUUAAGAAUCAUCUGGGUAUUGAUUAGAACAAAGUUGCCCAGGUGCCCUUAAAAAAUAAGGAAUUCCUGAAGGCAUUCAAUGUGGGCAGGUCUGUUAAGAAAGUAUGGUCCUUUGAAGUGCCUAUGAAGUCAAAAUUUGUCAUUACACUUAACAUUUUCUCACCACUCUCAAGUAGACAUGUCUUUAAAGAGAUCUAUAUUGGCUUUGAUUUCUAAUGUAAACAUUUGUAAUUAUCCUAACAACUCUGAGGUUUUUAUUUUUUCUGAAAGCCAAAACUCACCUAUAUUUGCAUGUUUAAUGUUUAUGAAUUAAAAGGUGAUUGUACA
This is a long non-coding RNA of Cynocephalus volans (Philippine flying lemur), 758 nucleotides long. RefSeq lists it as uncharacterized. Lineage: Eukaryota; Metazoa; Chordata; Mammalia; Dermoptera; Cynocephalidae. The record is from RefSeq and is a predicted model, not a curated record. The transcript has 4 exons.